CACCCAAGUCUCUCCCAGCAUCCACACCUCUCCUUUCCGCUCCUCCACCAUCCGCCUUCUCUCUCUACCUUUCACGGCUAAGCUGCUGCCAAAAGACCUCGACUCCUCGUCAGCCAUCCAGUCAUCGCCUCGUCUCUCACCGGCUCCUCGAAAGACUCCCCAAAUCUCGUCGCCGUCCCGUCCUAGCAAGAGGCCAGGGCACGCCCUUCGGUUCCUUCGCCUUCCUAAACUCUCUGUGGUGUCUGAGGAAUGCUGCCCACGCCUUCAGUCUCUGCAAGUUCUCUCCACCCUCUUUCUCUGGGGGAUGGCCCCCUCCCCAGGCACGGUCUUCAGGGAACAGGAACCCCUCGGGUCUCAGAGCAAGCUCAUGCGCUCUCCUACGAUUCGACUCGCCCCCCGGAUGCCCAGGGCUUCUGAGUGCGUACGACUGACGUCACCCUGCCCCUGACUCCACGCUGCUUUCUCUAACUGUCUGCUGGACGCACCUCUCGGGAUGUCCAAAGGCUUCUCAAAACCGACACGUCCAAAAGGGAGCCCGAACAACAGGAAGACGGCAGAUCAGAGAGCAGCUUGAUGGCAGCCCCCCCGGACCCCGCCCGAGCGGACAUCGUGCAGAGGCUUGGACCAGCCGAAAUGACGGAUCGCCCACUUUCCGCGUCACGGACAGAGAUCCUCGGCGUGCAACGCGUCGAACCCCACUGACCUCGCACUUGUGGACCCACGAAGAAAUACGAGUGACAGUCGCACCUGAGCAGAGGACUCUUCAAGCUUCACCCCCAGCGCUCUCCUGGUCCCACCCCUACCCCAACCCCAGAUAAACGCCCCCAAUGUUUGAUUUUCCCUUUUGAGAAGCGAGGUUGAGUUUGACGCCCACCUCCUUGUCUGGCCGCCUCUUGAUCAUAAACCUCUUUCCUUGCUGCAACCCUGACUUCUCACUGAUUGGCUUGGCUGCGAAAUCGGGUACCCGGACCUGAGUUUGUGUGUGGUCCCAUCGCUUCCCUGCUUGAAGGAAUCCAGGGUUCUCCACUGCCUGCAGGCCAAACUGGAGCAGAAUCUCAAGGCCUCGCCCCUGCA
RNAcentral lists this long non-coding RNA (1074 nucleotides) under Equus caballus (horse). RNAcentral describes it as "lncRNA (ENSECAG00000051639.1)". Lineage: Eukaryota; Metazoa; Chordata; Mammalia; Perissodactyla; Equidae. The record is from RNAcentral.